CCUACGGGAGGCAGCAGUGGGGAAUAUUGCACAAUGGGGGAAACCCUGAUGCAGCGACGCCGCGUGAGUGAAGAAGUAUUUCGGUAUGUAAAGCUCUAUCAGCAGGGAAGUAACCCACCCUCCGGGGUGGCUGACGGUUCCUGACUAAGAAGCCCCGGCUAACUACGUGCCAGCAGCCGCGGUAAUACGUAGGGGGCAAGCGUUAUCCGGCUUUACUGGGUGUAAAGGGGGCGUAGGUGGGAAGUCAAGUCAGAUGUGAAAACCCGGGGCCCAACCCCGGGAGUGCAUUUGAAACUGUCUGGCUAGAGUGCAGGAGAGGUAAGUGGAAUGCGUAGUGUAGCGGUGAAAUGCAUAGAUAUGAGGAGGAACACCAGUUGCGAAGGCGGCUUACUGGACUGUAACUGACACUGAGGCACGAAAGCGUGGGGAUCAAACAGGAUUAGAUACCCCUGUAGUC
This 457-nucleotide ribosomal RNA is filed under the name uncultured bacterium. RNAcentral's name for it is "partial 16S ribosomal RNA". It matches the Rfam family "Bacterial small subunit ribosomal RNA", at positions 338 to 795 of the family's 1533-position model. The record is from RNAcentral.